RNAcentral lists this small RNA (53 nucleotides) under Rhizobium etli CFN 42. RNAcentral describes it as "mini-ykkC.2008-01-16 RNA". The record is from RNAcentral. Lineage: Bacteria; Pseudomonadati; Pseudomonadota; Alphaproteobacteria; Hyphomicrobiales; Rhizobiaceae.
UCGCAGACGACUGCGGCGUCCGGAGGAUGCAACUGUCGCGGGGACGGCCUCGC